This 460-nucleotide ribosomal RNA is filed under the name uncultured bacterium. RNAcentral describes it as "partial 16S ribosomal RNA". It matches the Rfam family "Bacterial small subunit ribosomal RNA", at positions 338 to 795 of the family's 1533-position model. The record is from RNAcentral.
CCUACGGGCGGCAGCAGUGAGGAAUAUUGGUCAAUGGGCGCAAGCCUGAACCAGCCAAGUCGCGUGAAGGAUGAAGGAUCUCUGGUUUGUAAACUUCUUUUAUAGGGGAAUAAAGUGAGGAACGUGUUACUUUUUGUAUGUACCAUAUGAAUAAGCAUCGGAUAACUCCGUGCCAGCAGCCGCGGUAAUACGGAGGAUGCGAGCGUUAUACGGAUUGAUUGGGUUUAAAGGGUGCGUAGGUGGUUAAUUAAGUCAGCGGUGAAAGUUUGUGGCUCAACCAUAGAAUUGCCGUUGAAACUGGUUGACUUGAGUAUAGUUGAGGUAGGUGGAAUGCGUUGUGUAGCGGUGAAAUGCAUAGAUAUCACGCAGAACUCCGAUUGCGAAGGCAGCUUACUAAACUAUAACUGACACUGAUGCACGAAAGCGUGGGGAUCAAACAGGAUUAGAUACCCGUGUAGUC